AACGAACGCUGGCGGCGUGCCUAACACAUGCAAGUCGAGCGAGAAAGGGGGAGCAAUCCCCUGAGUACAGCGGCGCACGGGUGAGUAACGCGUGGGUAAUCUGCCCCCCAGCCCGGGAUAACACCUCGAAAGAGGUGCUAAUACCGGAUGACAUCGGCUUGGCGCAUGCCGGGCCGAUCGAAGGCGGCCUCUGCUUGCAAGCUGUCACUGGGGGAUGAGCCUGCGUCCGAUUAGCUAGUUGGCGGGGUAACGGCCCACCAAGGCGACGAUCGGUAGCCGGCCUGAGAGGGUGAUCGGCCACACUGGGACUGAGACACGGCCCAGACU
RNAcentral lists this ribosomal RNA (327 nucleotides) under uncultured bacterium. Its description in RNAcentral is "bacterial SSU rRNA". It matches the Rfam family "Bacterial small subunit ribosomal RNA", at positions 28 to 337 of the family's 1533-position model. The record is from RNAcentral.